GACGAACGCUGGCGGCGUGCUUAACACAUGCAAGUCGAACGGAAAGGCCUGCUUUCCCUUGUGGAUUGCGGGUGCUCGAGUGGCGAACGGGUGAGUAACACGUGAGUGAUCUGCCCCCAACUUGGGUAUAAGCCUGGGAAACUGGGUCUAAUUCCCGAUAGGACUGCAGGGUGGUGCCUGUGGUGGAAAACGAUUUUCUAGUGGUUGGGGAUGAGCUCGCGGCCUAUCAGCUUGUUGGUGGGGUAAUGGCCUACCAAGGCGGCGACGGGUAGCCGGCCUGGGAGGGUGGACGGCCACAUUGGGACUGAGAUACGGCCCAGACUCCUACGGGAGGCAGCAGUGGGGAAUAUUGCACAAUGGGCGGAAGCCUGAUGCAGCGACGCCGCGUGGGGGAUGACGGCCUUCGGGUGGUAAACUCCUUUCGACCGCGAGGAAGCCGCCUGGUUGGAAGGGUGGUGACGGUAGUGGUAGAAGAAGCACCGGCUAACUACGUG
RNAcentral lists this ribosomal RNA (494 nucleotides) under uncultured bacterium. Its description in RNAcentral is "partial 16S ribosomal RNA". It matches the Rfam family "Bacterial small subunit ribosomal RNA", at positions 28 to 507 of the family's 1533-position model. The record is from RNAcentral.